RNAcentral lists this ribosomal RNA (497 nucleotides) under uncultured bacterium. RNAcentral's name for it is "partial 16S ribosomal RNA". It matches the Rfam family "Bacterial small subunit ribosomal RNA", at positions 28 to 507 of the family's 1533-position model. The record is from RNAcentral.
GACGAACGCUGGCGGCGUGCCUAAUACAUGCAAGUAGAACGCUGAAGAGAGGAGCUUGCUCUUCUUGGAUGAGUUGCGAACGGGUGAGUAACGCGUAGGUAACCUGCCUUGUAGCGGGGGAUAACUAUUGGAAACGAUAGCUAAUACCGCAUAACAAUGGAUGACACAUGUCAUUUAUUUGAAAGGGGCAAUUGCUCCACUACAAGAUGGACCUGCGUUGUAUUAGCUAGUAGGUGAGGUAAUGGCCCACCUAGGCGACGAUACAUAGCCGACCUGAGAGGGUGAUCGGCUACACUGGGACUGAGACACGGCCCAGACUCCUACGGGAGGCAGCAGUAGGGAAUCUUCGGCAAUGGGGGCAACCCUGACCGAGCAACGCCGCGUGAGUGAAGAAGGUUUUCGGAUCGUAAAGCUCUGUUGUAAGUCAAGAACGGGUGUGAGAGUGGAAAGUUCACACUGUGACGGUAGCUUACCAGAAAGGGACGGCUAACUACGUG